ACUCAUAACCGCAUCAGG
RNAcentral lists this small nuclear RNA (18 nucleotides) under Arabidopsis thaliana (thale cress). RNAcentral's name for it is "snRNA_04323". The record is from RNAcentral. Lineage: Eukaryota; Viridiplantae; Streptophyta; Magnoliopsida; Brassicales; Brassicaceae.